Long non-coding RNA from Anopheles funestus (African malaria mosquito), 2924 nucleotides. RefSeq lists it as uncharacterized. The transcript is spliced from 3 exons. The record is from RefSeq and is a predicted model, not a curated record. NCBI's taxonomy places the organism in Eukaryota, Metazoa, Arthropoda, Insecta, Diptera, Culicidae.
CAGGUGUAGCGGAAGGAUAUUCGUCUCGUAGUGUGCGAAAUAUUUUUUUGUAUAAAAAAAAUUAAAAUUACGCUCGAUGAUACCAAUAAUAUAGAGAUGAAAUUUAGUGUGUGCGUAUGAGUUGUACACACAAAAAAAGGCUUCUCCAUCUCACCGUUUUCCUUCUCGCUCGCUCUCAUCUCACAACGCAACCACGAGAGGGAGAUAGUGAGUGCUCGCUAAAGAAAGCAGAUCUGUAGCGACUUGAGCGUUUCUCACUUGACGGUCGUCGUCGUCGUCGUCGUCCUUAACCCGGGAUUGCCGUCGUCCUUGCGCACGACAUUCGUGUUGGUGCACAUUUUCUUCCGGAGUUGAACUCUUUCUCAUCCAAGCUGUAUACGGUCACACACACGGUCUCUCUCUCUCACACACACUCACACUCUCCGCUUCUCCUACUCUCACUUUCUAUAACUACUUCUUUAUCUUGCAUCCUUCCGCCGUGUAUGUGUUCUCUCUCUCUCUCUCUUUCUCUUUCGCUCACUCUCUUUCAUUCGUUGCGUGUUUCCUUGCUCGAAGGAGAUGACAAGACGAGGGAAAGAAAAUGGAACAUAAAUAAAACGACGAUCCUGGCAGGCGAAGGAUAAGACAGUUUUCACGAGAGAAAAACCAUCGUGAGAGUUAUCCUUCUUUUUUUUGUUGCCCGUUUUGUUUUGCGCGUUCAGUGUUAAGGUGGUGUGCGUGCGGCUCGGUAUGUAGUGUGCGUUACUCUCUUAUAUAGACACAUAGAAUGGCAAUGGAAAGGGUCGAUCCGAUCGGUCCUUUCGGCGUAAUCCUUUCUCGUCCUUUCACGGGCAGCUGGGCAGGAAGGUGCGUGGUGACGGUUGUAGAGCGACGCGUGUGUAUGUAAAUAUUCUGGAGACGAAUGUAAUUUUCUUUUGCCUUUUGCUUCUUGCCCUUUUCCACCAUGCGUCCCCUCAGUACAUUCCUGUCCUAUGUACAAUUUCUUCUCUCUCUCUCGCGCGCUUUCUCUCCUGCUCUCUCGUGUUCCUUGUUAUUUCUGUUUACUUCUACAUCGGUGUGGGAUACUCCCUUUUGUCCACUGGUUUCGUACGGCCGGCACUAAGCAAGGGUUCAAGGAGAUUUUUCUUUUACACAACAGUCUACCACACUACGCGCGAAAGAAGGCCACCAUCGCGCACAUAAAACGAAAGAAUUUGGCACCGCGCACAACACAGAUACACAGCCACACGAACACACAGAAACUGGGUGGGCUGAAAGUUCGACUCGAUGUCCUUUAGGACGGAUCGGCCGGUGACGGCGGCCGAAAGGAAAAAUUCGCCAAACCAGUCGAUCUCGCGCGCGCUCGCUUGUAUAUACGGGACAGAGGUAGAAGUGCACGUGUGUCUGUGUUUGUCGUGUACUUCGGUAGUGAUAAAGCGCGAGAAAACGCGCCUGCAAUUGUGCGUGUGUACAACAUCCUUUCGCUGAACUCGAGACAUUUUGCGGACACCUACGAACUCAUUCCGUGACGCAACACCGUGACCAACGGAUGAAGUCUCUGAUGCCGAUUUCUUGAGAGUAGUGGCAAAACGGGUUUGUGCAAGAUAUUGGAAAAAAGGAAAUGGACAAUAAAUUUAUGAAAGGAGAAAAAAAAGAUCAUAUGAUCUUGAAGAACGGCAAUGAAGUUAUGUGGUUGAGUAGGUUUUACUAAAAAAAUAAUAAAUUAAGUGGUAUUUUCGUGAACAUGUAUUAUUGCCCGAAAUUUCAAAGUGUUGUGUGAUAAGUUUUAUUGGACGAACCCUAGUGAAGUGCUUCAAUCAAGAUUAGUGAAAUUUUGUGCGGAGAAAAAAUCGACCUUUAGUGUUUCUAUCCCUGUUUCUAAUCGUUAUGGUGAAAUGGCGUUAAAAGUUCUCGUGCAGUGAUGAAAAAAUGGUCGGAUAAUGAACUUGAAUGAAGAUAACUUUCAACGAAAAAAAAAAUCCAACAACGAUCAUGAACAACCCAACCGUCGAGGCAUAAUAAACACGAAAUAAACAAUCACAUAGGGCGCACAAUUUUGUACGAUUUUGUUACAAAUAAAAAAACCAACCCCAUUCCUGAUAGCAAAUAACGAGUUCACACUCCACAACGUACGUACGCCGAAAGAGAGCGUAACAGUAGAAUGGGUUCGUUCGGUUACCAAAAUUUGAAUUCUCCCGAUAUAUGUGCACACAUAUCGACAGAGUUUGAAAUCAGCUGCUGCUGCUGGUGGUGAAAUCUUGCCUCUUGAAAUCUUGUCCCUUUAUGUCACGGCGACAAGCAGCAAACGGAGCGAAGAUUAUAUACAUUCGGUUACGCUCAACUCACCCCCCCAAAACGGUUCAAAAGUUAAUGAAAAGCAAAGCAGUUUUACCGAGAAGCAAGGAUACCGAUUGGAACGGAAGGACCAUCGCUGUCGAUGUACGGAUACGAAGAAACCGAGAGAACGAUCACACACUAGUGCAGAAACUACUACUACCUAACACUAGCACUAUUACUACCACCAACACUAGCGAUGAAUGCCAUGGCGACAGGAGCAAGACUCUGAGGCUGUAGAUAAUAACUACGAUGAGAAGCAAUUUUGACUCAGUUUCGCAGUCGAAAAGGUACGGCGCUUGAGAUGGUCGUCUGGAGGAAUACGAAGCAAGCGUCCUAGACGCACGUCUACGGGCGGUAUCGACGAUGAAGUUCGAAUGUAUAAAGCACCGUAUGUGAUGGGCGCACACCGGGUGCAAAACGUUCGGGAAAAUACGUCACUUCCGCGUACAAGAAAGGAUCGUACUUGAUACGACCAAGCAAAUGAUAACAGUGCAAAGUGCGAAAAUUUGAAAGUUCCAUAUCGUAAGUGUAAAAAUACAAGUGAUAGAAGAAAGUGUUGUUGUGGCAAUCAGCAAUAGCAAGUGGAAAGGAAGUUAUCGAUUAAAACA